GAUGAACGCUGGCGGCGUGCCUAAUACAUGCAAGUCGAGCGAACGGACGAUAAGCUUGCUUCUCUGAUGUUAGCGGCGGACGGGUGAGUAACACGUGGAUAACCUACCUAUAAGACUGGGAUAACUUCGGGAAACCGGAGCUAAUACCGGAUAAUAUUUUGAACCGCAUGGUUCAAAAGUAAAAGACGGUCUUGCUGUCACUUAUAGAUGGAUCCGCGCUGCAUUAGCUAGUUGGUAAGGUAACGGCUUACCAAGGCAACGAUGCAUAGCCGACCUGAGAGGGUGAUCGGCCACACUGGAACUGAGACACGGUCCAGACUCCUACGGGAGGCAGCAGUAGGGAAUCUUCCGCAAUGGGCGAAAGCCUGACGGAGCAACGCCGCGUGAGUGAUGAAGGUCUUCGGAUCGUAAAACUCUGUUAUUAGGGAAGAACAUAUGUGUAAGUAACUGUGCACAUCUUGACGGUACCUAAUCAGAAAGCCACGGCUAACUACGUG
Molecule: ribosomal RNA, 497 nt
Filed under: uncultured bacterium
Lineage: Bacteria
Description: partial 16S ribosomal RNA
Rfam family: Bacterial small subunit ribosomal RNA
Source: RNAcentral